AUAAUAUAAUCAAUCAUUUGUUAUGGCUUCAAGGUGCCUACCGUUUUUUCCUCUCCACCGCGUUAUGGUGGUGCUCCACCACCUUCGCCAGUCUCCAUGGCUGAACGACCUCCAUUGCCACCACCCUCAUCCACAAUGCCGCCACCACGUAGACCGCCUGUUCCGCCACAUUGAUGAAGUCCAACAUUAUAUUCGCCGCUACAGGCUACUCCCUACGGUGGUAACCCACAGCAGGCGUCGCCCUCUAAACCAGUGUAACCACCACCGGGAGCAGUUCAUGGAACUUAGAAGGGUUCACCAAAACCAACUACGUGAGUCACUCACAAGAAUCCGACGGUGCAUAAGGCCCCUCAGGCAUUACCACGUCUUUCACCAACCGGACCAGAUCACACGUUACUACCAAAGCAUGAACAUCCUCAACAUUUUCACCAACCAACUAUAAGAGGUGAGACAGGGUUAAGGACCGUUUCAAAUAUACGGAAUGGUUGUUUCAGAAUCUGAAGAGGUGGUGUUUAGGUUCACUAGCACCACAUGAUACGCUUAAUUUUGUGUUAUUGCCGAGUCUCUUCUUCAAAUGUGGCUUUGAAUUGUUGCAAUACGACUUUCACAAUGUACGUGGAUGCAUAGAUCCAAUCAUACACUAGAGAGAUACGAACGACCAGAGGCCUCCAUUAAAACCAAGCUUCAACAGGCUAAUCCAUUUCCCUUCCUUCACUUUUUACCUGCGUGCAAGAGAUAACCCUUUCAGCUUACUCCAGUCAUCGAAACAGAAUUUUAGACCCGAACUCUUGAUGCCCUUCGGUUGGGGAGAAUAUCUUCCAUCAAUUUCUGCUUCUGUUCCUUCUGCCUAGAUCCAACAUAAACCAUAGACACAAAAAAAAGGAUGGCGAUGCGACGCAGAUCUACGUCGUCGGUGGAGUAGAUCCGGCAGGGGACAAGAUGAUGCGAACAAUCGAAGGGAGGAGGGAGUUGUUAAACGAAUGCGAAGUCCUUGGAGUUGCCAGUGCAGUGGUCUUCGGGGAUGAAGAUGUCGAUGGCAUGUCGCCGUACGUGUGGAAGAAAGGGAAGAGGUCAUAGGCGAUUGUACGGAACGUUACUACGUUUAGACAGGGGUUUUGUGCUUGCAGAUUGCAAUAACAGCUAUAGCCAAUGCUAUUUGGGGUUUAGGGAUUGCAUAUUAGGGUUUGUGAGGAGGAAAGAAAUAGUGAAUGCUUUCGUGAAAAACCAAGAAUGUUGAAUUAAAUAUAUUUAGUUAAAAGAGGAGUCUAGGAGUUAGUAACUUUUGUGUUUUGUAAUUAUCAAUUGGCCAUCAAUAAUAUUUUUAAUUGUGUGAAUUUAUAUCCAAUGAUAGGAGAUUAUUCAUUUUUUUAUGGUUAA
This is a non-coding RNA of Arachis ipaensis, 1377 nucleotides long. The record is from RefSeq and is a predicted model, not a curated record. NCBI's taxonomy places the organism in Eukaryota, Viridiplantae, Streptophyta, Magnoliopsida, Fabales, Fabaceae.